AGACUUUCACAUGAAAAAACAAACUGUAAAACUACAAAAAGGAAUUUUAAGGAGGAAAGAACAGACUGAAAACAUAAAUAAGGAGGGAGACACAGACACAGAGGUUUUGGCACAGCCGGCGUUUGAAGCGGCUUCAUGAAGCGCAGCGGGACGUCGAAGACGAAACACUGAUCUGUAUCCAAACAUCUCGCCUGAGCCUCCGGAUCAGGACGAGAGACGUGACCGUCUGAGUGUUCGUGUUUCUAUCAUCUUCACCGGUAAGUCUUCGGAGCGUGCCAGUGGAGGUCCUGGUAGACGUCGGGCACGUCGCUGAGAUCGGCCUCUACGAGAUCCUGACCCGGAUACACCACGACCGGUACUUCCUGUUUGUCCGCGCCGAGCAACACCCAGCCC
Long non-coding RNA from Acanthopagrus latus (yellowfin seabream), 393 nucleotides. RefSeq lists it as uncharacterized. The transcript is spliced from 3 exons. The record is from RefSeq and is a predicted model, not a curated record. Lineage: Eukaryota; Metazoa; Chordata; Actinopteri; Spariformes; Sparidae.